RNAcentral lists this ribosomal RNA (171 nucleotides) under Triticum aestivum (bread wheat). RNAcentral's name for it is "partial small subunit ribosomal RNA". Lineage: Eukaryota; Viridiplantae; Streptophyta; Magnoliopsida; Poales; Poaceae. The record is from RNAcentral.
AUGCAUAGAGAUGAACGAUUUAGAAAGGUGACAAAUAUUUCCCAACUUUCAGCCAAGCUUGUUGAGACAAAGAACAUAUCACAUGCCAUUGUUUACAAGAUUCUCAAGUUGGUGUUAAUUCUCCCGGUGGCGACUGCUAGUAUUGAGAGGGUCUUCUCUUCGAUGAAUUAA